UCGGGAAUUUUGGGCAAUGGGCGAAAGCCUGACCCAGCAACGCCGCGUGAAGGAUGAAGUAUUUCGGUAUGUAAACUUCGAAAGAAUAGGAAGAAUAAAUGACGGUACUAUUUAUAAGGUCCGGCUAACUACGUGCCAGCAGCCGCGGUAAUACGUAGGGACCAAGCGUUGUUCGGAUUUACUGGGCGUAAAGGGCGCGUAGGCGGCAUGACAAGUCACUUGUGAAAUCUCUGGGCUUAACCCAGAACGGCCAAGUGAUACUGUCGCGCUAGAGUGCAGAAGGGGCAAUCGGAAUUCUUGGUGUAGCGGUGAAAUGCGUAGAUAUCAAGAGGAACACCUGAGGUGAAGACGGGUUGCUGGGCUGACACUGACGCUGAGGCGCGAAAGCGUGGGGAGCAAACAGGAUUAGAUACCCAUGUAGUCCCUGAGCGGGCUGGCAAGGCGCAU
Molecule: ribosomal RNA, 447 nt
Filed under: uncultured bacterium
Lineage: Bacteria
Description: bacterial SSU rRNA
Rfam family: Bacterial small subunit ribosomal RNA
Source: RNAcentral